CAGAAUUUGAUGGAUACUCAAUGAUUAGAUGCCAAUAGCAUAAACAAUUAAAGAUUACAUGGUUCAGGCUAUAAAGUCUUAAGUUCGAAAUCUAGAAGGGAAGCUAUACAUCUUUUUGGAUGGAGAAUUAUUUUCCAAUCUGAAAAUAUAUCACAAAAGCAUUAAUUUCCUUAUUGCAGACCACUACUUUGUGAUUGAUGCUUGGAUUUCCUCGAGUGUUCUUCCUUUAGUCUCAGGAACCAGCUUUGCAAUGAACACAACACCUGCUAUACUUAUGCCACCAUAAAUGAUGAAUGUUCCUGCUGAACUCCACUCAAACAAAAAGUUGAAAGUGUAGGCAAUAACCCAAGAACCAAUCCAGCUAACCAAAUUGACAAGACUUCCAGCCGAGCCCUUUAUGUUUAUGGGAAAUAUCUGAAAACCUCACCAAGUUUCUAUCAUAAUAAGAACUGAAAUCUCAAAAAGAAGGCAGGGGAAGGAAAUAAAGAAAGAAGCAUGCAUACCUCCGACAUGAUAAUCCAGGGUAUCCCUCCCAUGCCAAAUUCAAAGGAACCUAAGUACAGCUAUUUCAUUUGAACAUUUAAACAACUAAUAAGCAAGUGACCAAAAUUGAGAGACACAGGACUAAACUAUAGCAGGAAGAGGAAUAGGUAGAUCACCAAUACACCCAAAAGCACCAAAACAGAAGUCACAUCCUCCCUGACCAUGUGAAGAUCCUGGAAGAAGAAUGACAAUCCUGUAAGAACACAACCCAAGCAAGUUCCUACUGCAGAUAUCAUUAGUAGCAGUCUUCUUCCCAAUUUAUCUAUUAACAAUGCCCCCAAAGUUGUCAUUAUAAUCUGAGUAACUGAAGCUGCUAUGGUGCCAAUUGUGCUUGAGAAACCAGCUGAGUCAAAAAUUGUGCUUGUGUAAAAUGCGAAACCAUUGAGCCCUCCAAAUUCUUGGAACACCAUCAGCCCAACCCCAACAAUGAGUGAAUAAGCAUACUUUCUCUGGAACAGUUUAAAAAUUCCAUCUUCUGAGUUUUCACAGACGUAGACAGUAUAUUCUUCGAUAUCUGCUGCUUCUUGUGAUAUAUCAGUACCAUUUCCCCUGAGACGCUGCAGAGAAGAUUCAAACUCUCUUACAUGACCUAUUUUUGCCAGCCAUCUUGGGGACUCUGGAAUGAAACAUAAGCAUAACAGCUGCACUAGACAUGGAAUAAUUCCUAUUAUAGCUAAUAUUCUCCAAUUGACAAGAGAACCAACGAGAAAUGUAAGUGCUUUGCCCAAACCUAUCAUCACCUGGUUAAGAGAUGUAAAUGCUCCCCUAAUAUUCUUGGGGGCAAUUUCUGCAAUAUAUACAGGUACCACAUAAGAAAGAAGCCCAAUUCCACACCCCAGAGAAAAUCUUCCAAGAUCAAGCCAAAAGGCAUCCUUGGCAAAUAUAAUUGCGAGCCAUCCCAGGAUGCAGAAUGUUUCUGAAACCACCAUAGCACCUCUACGACCAAUUAUAUCAGCUAUCCGCCCACUUGCUACUGCACCUAUCAUUGCUCCAAUUGUUAAUAUUGAACCAAAAAUCGAAUACUCAGCCAUAUUAAGGCCAAGGUCAUCCACAAUGCCAGUCUCAGCUGGGGAUGAAUAACCCACAGAGUUUCCAAAAACAUAGGACCCGCAAACAGCAACUGUGGUGCUGAAGACCAACAUAGAAGUAAUGGUUGAUGAGAAAUGUUCCGUGGAUCCAUCAUUUUCGCCAGGCAAAAGAAAUCCAUUCUCAAUAAGUGGGCUUGUUCUUGCUUCUUCUUCCAUUCCUGUCCUUCAACAUUCACCCACAACUGCAAAUUUUCAAUUACCAGCACUGAAUCUAAUGAGUUCUUUUAUGCUCGUCUUAUAUAUAUAUAAACAAAAGCUGCACUCUAAACAGGCGAAGGACUUGGAAUUAGAAAGUGG
This 1928-nucleotide unclassified non-coding RNA is filed under the name Hevea brasiliensis (rubber tree). The record is from RNAcentral. Lineage: Eukaryota; Viridiplantae; Streptophyta; Magnoliopsida; Malpighiales; Euphorbiaceae.